CCUACGGGAGGCUGCAGUGGGGGAUAUUGCACAAUGGGGGGAACCCUGAUGCAGCGACGCCGCGUGGGUGAAGAAGCGCCUCGGCGCGUAAAGCCCUGUCAGCAGGGAAGAAAAUGACGGUACCUGAAGAAGAAGCCCCGGCUAACUACGUGCCAGCAGCCGCGGGAAUACGGAGGGGGCAAGCGUUAUCCGGAUUUACUGGGUGUAAAGGGGGCGCAGACGGCGAUGCAAGCCAGGAGUGAAAGCCCGGGGCCCAACCCCGGGACUGCUCUUGGAACUGCGUGGCUGGAGUGCAGGAGGGGCAGGCGGAAUUCCGGGUGUAGCGGUGAAAUGCGUAGAUAGCAGGAGGAACACCGGUGGCGAAGGCGGCCUGCUGGACUGCAACUGACGUUGAGGCCCGAAAGCGUGGGGAGCAAACAGGAUUAGAUACCCCAGUAGUC
Molecule: ribosomal RNA, 440 nt
Filed under: uncultured bacterium
Lineage: Bacteria
Description: partial 16S ribosomal RNA
Rfam family: Bacterial small subunit ribosomal RNA
Source: RNAcentral